This 301-nucleotide ribosomal RNA is filed under the name uncultured bacterium. RNAcentral describes it as "partial 16S ribosomal RNA". It matches the Rfam family "Bacterial small subunit ribosomal RNA", at positions 509 to 807 of the family's 1533-position model. The record is from RNAcentral.
CAGUCGCCACGGUAAUACAGAGGGUGCGAGCGUUAAUCGGAUUUACUGGGCGUAAAGCGUGCGUAGGCGGCUUCUUAAGUCGGAUGUGAAAUCCCUGAGCUUAACUUAGGAAUUGCAUUCGAUACUGGGAAGCUAGAGUAUGGGAGAGGAUGGUAGAAUUCCAGGUGUAGCGGUGAAAUGCGUAGAGAUCUGGAGGAAUACCGAUGGCGAAGGCAGCCAUCUGGCCUAAUACUGACGCUGAGGUAUGAAAGCAUGGGGAGCAAACAGGAUUAGAUACCCCAGUAGUCCCUGUCUCUUAUAC